GGUCUCCGACGAAAGCCAUCCACGGGGGAGGGAAAGUUGCGGGUGGGACGCGGCGGGCGCCGCCGCCCCCGGCCCCGGGGGGCACCGUGCCGGGGCAGGAGGGGCCGCCGGCAGCGCGGCCGCGGCAGACUGGGACCGCGCCGGCCGGCGCCUUCCGCCCAGCCCAGGCUUUCCCUCUCCUCCCCGCCGCUCGCCCCCACCUCCCUCCUCCUCCUCCUCCUCCUCCUCCUCCUUCUCCUCCUCCGCCGCCGCCGCCUCCCGCGCUCCCGCGCUCCCGCCCGCCCCCCGCCGCCGCCGCGGGGGAGCUCCCGCCCGCCCGGGUGCGCGCUGGGGUUGUAACUGCAGGGUGGCGCGAAGGACCGGGGUUUCCUCCCCCCCCCGUGUCCGCCCUCUGCCGCCGCGCUCGGCAUCUCCGCCAUCCUCACUGCCCGCUGGAGACCGGGUGCUGGGGAGGGCGGCCGAGGCUUGUCCCUGUUUCCUAAGCAGAAAGGUCACCCCUCGCCACCCCCGGUAACAUUAAAAGGCUUUUUUUUUUUCAUUCUGGCAGGUCGGCACGGGUCACAACCCGCCAAGAACCUCCCGGUAGCGCUCUGGCCUUUAGUGUAUGCACCAAAGGCGCCACGGGACAGAUAGCACAAAAAUAGGAUGGGAAGAUGGAAAUGGCAUGACAGACCGUCGCUGCAUACUCACCCCCUAACAGCAGCUCCGGGGCAGCUUUCAGCUCACCCCAGAUUUCUGCAGGCGUCCAUGCAGCGUGUGUCACGUCACGUGCGCACCAGCCUUGGCACUCACCACCUGAAGUGUGCCCAGACAUCUGCCUGCCGGCCCAGCACAGUGGGCCAGGGCCAGGCUCCCUGGCAAGGAACGAGGUGCCCCGAGACCAGCCCUGUGCUGGGAGGCAGCCAGAGGCGCGGGCGCUCUUGCCUCAGGUCGCCCAUGCAGACGGCCGGCCAGAGCAGACUCGGUGGGACACGGGCUUCUUGUGCCACGUGAGCCGCUUCUCGUGCAAUGCGAGGACUUGUCACCUUGGAUCUCCAGUGGGGACAGAGCCAGGUGCGUCUUCACAGAAGGGGCUCGCUGGAUUGCAGUUCUGGGUGCAACCGUAUCAAAAACACAGAAACACUGAAGAAAGUCAUGGAACUAUGUAAGGUAGGGCUGAAAGAAACCUUGAGACAUUACCCCCCAAGAUGGACAAGUGCAACUUUAUCAAGAGGGAGAAGGAAAGAUUAAAGCUUCAAUACAUAUAAACUGGAUAAAGGAAGGAUAAUCACGUUUGGGAGGCAGAAGAGCCUUCCACCUCUAUAACAUCUCAUUUCCAAGCCAGAAGUGACCACGAGUUGAUGGAACGACUGCCUGGCAGCUGAGUCUGUAGCUUAGUGAUUUUCUGAGUGGAGGAAUUUGAAAACAUGGAAUAAACUCAGCAAGCGAGAUAACGAAAAGGAUGGGCAAAGGAGGUAUCUCUGACUGAAUCGUCCGUCAGCGCUUUUUCAGAUCAGAGGACAGAGGAGAGCUUAUGUUAGGCACAUGGCCAUCUGAAGAGGUAGUUAAUAUGGCUCAGCUGUGUUUCCAUCAGAUUUCAGAAGAGAAUUAUUUUCAUGCCUUCUCCUUCCUACUUGGUACAGUGGUGGAGAAAUCGACAAAUAAAGAUUUUUCUGUUUGACUCUUUUCAGAUAUACUAACCAGUCUUUCAUCCUUUGUGCAGCAAGAGACAACAAAGUCAAUUAGACCUCUUCCCUUCCCAGCUUAACUCAUCCUACACGCUCCUACACGAAUAUUCUGCCAGUACCUUGGGGUAUGGAUUUUUACUUGAACUGAAGUAUAAACUGCUCUUUUAUACCACGUUUUGAAUGAAAAAUCUCUACCAGGAACCAAAACCAGAGGCAAAACAUCUAGGAAUUGCCUGAUACCGUACCGAGUAGUUCAGUGGAAGAUCUGGGCAGGGGGAAGAUUUCUGUUCUUGCAUGUGCUUUUAGAGAAGCACUUCUGAGGUAAAGAUUUGGAUAUGGGACAUCAAAGCAGAAUCCAUUCAACUUAAAAUUGUUUUCUGCAGCCAGCGGCCACACAACAGGACUUCAGGACUAAUAGCACCACUGACCCAUACCACUAGAUAAACAGUUUUGCUGUGAUGGAGAUUGGCUCCAACAACCAAGCUGUCAUUUAAAGCGCAAAAAGAUGUCCUGAACAAUAGUGAUAGCUCAUGUGCAGUAUGAAGGAGAUUGGUAUGACCAACAGAAGGCUCUGUUGUGGGUCUAUUUAAAAGAUGGAGAGAGAUGUAUUCUGCAGGGAGUGAACUAGUUUUGUCACCUAUCUAUCUCUUGCUAAUAGUAAAGAGAAAUUAGACAUGGUCACUGUUAAACGCUGUUACACUUUAAUUGCACUCGUAUUUCCUUCUACAGAAUUUGUAAUUUUGCA
Molecule: non-coding RNA, 2412 nt
Organism: Phalacrocorax carbo (great cormorant)
Lineage: Eukaryota; Metazoa; Chordata; Aves; Suliformes; Phalacrocoracidae
Source: RefSeq, a predicted model, not a curated record